UAACGCGUGGGUAACCUGCCGUAUACAGGGGGAUAACACUUAGAAAUAGGUGCUAAAACCGCAUAAGCGCACAGGAUCGCAUGGUCCGGUGUGAAAAACUCCGGUGGUAUACGAUGGACCCGCGUCUGAUUAGCUUGUUGGCGGGGUAGAGGCCCACCAAGGCGACGAUCAGUAGCCGGCCUGAGAGGGUGAACGGCCACAUUGGGACUGAGACACGGCCCAAACUCCUACGGGAGGCAGCAGUGGGGAAUAUUGCACAAUGGGGGAAACCCUGAUGCAGCGACGCCGCGUGAGUGAAGAAGUAUUUCGGUAUGUAAAGCUCUAUCAGCAGGAAAGAAAAUGACGGUACCUGACUAAGAAGCCCCGGCUAACUACGUGCCAGCAGCCGCGGUAAUACGUAGGGGGCAAGCGUUAUCCGGAUUUACUGGGUGUAAAGGGAGCGUAGACGGUGAAGCAAGUCUGAAGUGAAAGGCGGGGGCUCAACCCCCGGACUGCAUUGGAAACUACCGAACUAGAGUGUCGGAGAGGUAAGUGGAAUUCCUAGUGUAGCGGUGAAAUGCGUAGAUAUUAGGAGGAACACCAGUGGCGAAGGCGGCUUACUGGACNAUAACUGACGCUGAGGCUCGAAAGCGUGGGGAGCAAACAGGAUUAGAUACCCUGGUAGU
This 665-nucleotide ribosomal RNA is filed under the name uncultured bacterium. RNAcentral's name for it is "bacterial SSU rRNA". It matches the Rfam family "Bacterial small subunit ribosomal RNA", at positions 111 to 794 of the family's 1533-position model. The record is from RNAcentral.